AUACGGAUGGUGCGAGCGUUGUUCGGAAUUACUGGGCGUAAAGGGCGCGUAGGCGGCGAUGUAAGUCAAAUGUGAAAGUCCUCGGCUUAACCGGGGAAGUGCAUCUGAAACUGCAUUGCUUGAGUAUGGGAGAGGAAAGUGGAAUUCCCGGUGUAGAGGUGAAAUUCGUAGAGAUCGGGAGGAAUACCGGUGGCGAAGGCGACUUUCUGGACCAAUUCUGACGCUGAGGCGCGAAAGCGUGGGGAGCAAACAGGAUUAGAUACCCGAGUAGUCC
This 274-nucleotide ribosomal RNA is filed under the name uncultured bacterium. RNAcentral describes it as "partial 16S ribosomal RNA". It matches the Rfam family "Bacterial small subunit ribosomal RNA", at positions 523 to 796 of the family's 1533-position model. The record is from RNAcentral.